RNAcentral lists this long non-coding RNA (5370 nucleotides) under Homo sapiens (human). Its description in RNAcentral is "HSALNT0125528". Lineage: Eukaryota; Metazoa; Chordata; Mammalia; Primates; Hominidae. The record is from RNAcentral.
GAAACACAAUAAUCAUUUGAGAUGCUAUUUAGCCUGGAUUACCUGAAGCUGAGUAAUUUAUAAAGAAAAGAAGUUCAAUUGGCUCACAGUUCUGCAGGCUGUACAGGAAGCAUGGCACUGACAUCUUCUCAGCUUCUGGUGAGGGCCUCAGGAAGUUUACAAUCAUGGUGGAAGGCAAAGGGGGAGCAAGCGUCUCAUGUGGCAAGAGGGAACAAACAGGAGACAGGAGGUGCCACACACUUUUAAACAACAGGAUCUCACAAGAGCUUACUCUUACAAGGACAGCACCAAGAAUAUGAGGAAUCUGCCCGCAUGACCCAAACACUUCCCUCCAGGCCCCACCUCCAACACUGGGGAUUACAUCUCAACACUGGAUUUGGAGGGGACAUCCAAACUAUAUCAAGGCUGUACAAGAAGCUUGGUGCCAGCAUUUGCUUCUACGCAGAGCCUCAGGCUGCUUCUACUCACAGUAAAAGGCAAAAGGGCAUGCAAAGAUCAUGUGGCAAGAGAAGAAGUGAGGGAUGGGGGAUGCCAUGCUCUUUUUAACAACCAGCUCUCAUGGGAACCAAGAGGGACAACUCACUCAUUAUAGCACCAAGCCUGUAUCCCUCCCAUUAUGCCCUACCUCCAACAUCGAGGAUCAAAUUUCAACAUGAGGUUUGGAGGCUCAAAUAUCCAAACAAUGGCAUUAUGUCAGGAUCAUAAAGCUAAUGUUUGUGAAACCAGGAUCUGAACCCAAGCUAUUGCUUCUAGAACCUGUACUCUUAAGCCCUUGCUUAUACUGCAUUUGAAAUUAUGCUUCAUUGUAUAAAAAGUCCUUUUCACCUCAAGCUUAUAGAGAAGUCACCUUGUUCUUAAAAAGUCCUUUACACUUCAAGUUCAUAAAGCUCAGGCACAUAUAUUUUCUUCCAGUACGUUCAUUAUUAUUUUUCUUGGUUUUCCUUUAAAUCUUUGAAUCAUCUGGAUUUUAUUUUGGAAUGAGAAAUGAAGUAGAAAUUUAUUUUUGUUUCUUUUCAGAAUGGCUGGUCAAUUGUCCUAACAUCAUUUAAUGAAUAGUAUUUAUUUCCCCUUUGCUUUGAAAUACUACUUUAUCAUAUACUAAAUUAUAAAGUAAUCUUUUAUUAUCAUUUUUGAAUGACUGCAUUCCAGUUGUGGAAGAUAUUACUCAAAGUCUGUUGUGAUUAUCUAACUUAAGUGUUGAUAUGAAGAAAGGAAAGUAGGUUUCAGCCUGAUUUAAGAAUUUUCCUCCUCUCCCUCUCCCUCUCCCUCUCCCUCUCCCUCCCCCUCCCCCUGCCCCUCCCUGUCUCCCUCUCUCUCUCCCUCUCUUUCUACGUCUCCCUCUCUUGCCGAGCCUGGACUGUACUGCCAUGAUCUCGGCUCACUGCAACCUCUCUGCCUCAGGCUCCCAUGAUUCUCCUGCCUCGGCCUGCUGAGUGCCUGGGAUUCCAGGCACGCACCACCACUUCUGACUGAUUUUUGUAUUUUUGGUGGAGACGGGGUUUCACUGUGUUGACCGGGCUGGUCUCCAGCUCCUGGCCUCGGGUGAUCUGCCCCCCUCAGCCUCCCGAGGUGCUGGGAUUGCAGACGGAGUCUCGCUCACUCAACGCUCAAUGUUGUCCAGGCUGGAGUGCAGUGGUGUGAUCUCAGCUCGCUACAACCUCCACCUCCCAGCCGCCUGCCUUGGCAUCCCAAAGUGCUAAGAUUAUAGCCUCUGCCUGCCCGCCACCCCGUCUAGGAAGUGAGCAGCGUCUCUGCCUGACCGCCCAUCGUCUGGGAUAUGAGGAGCCCCUCUGCCCAGCUGCCCCGUCUAGGAAGUGAGGAGCGCCUCUGCCCAGCCGCCAACCCGUCUAGGAAGUGAGGAGCGUCUCUGCCUGGCCACCCAUCAUCUGGGAUGUGAGGAGCGCCUCUGCCCGGCCGCCCUGUCUGGGAAGUGAGGAGUGCCUCUGCCCAGCUGCCCCAAAUGGGAAGUGAGGACCGCCUCUGCCUGGCCGCCCUGUCUGGGAAGUGAGGAGCGCCUCUGCCCGGCCGCCCCAUCUGGGAUGUGAGGAGCGCCUCUGCCCGGCCGCCACCCCGCCUGGGAGGCAAGGAGCGCCUCUGACUGGCAGCCCCAUCUGGCAACUGAGGAGCGCCUCUGCCCGGCCGCCACCCCAUCUGGGAAGUGGGGAGCGCCUCUGCCCGGCCGCCCCAUCUGGGAUGUGAGGAGCGCCUCUGCCCGGCCGCCCCGUCUGGGAAGUGAGGAGCGCCUCUGCCCGGCCACCCUGUCUGGGAUGUGGGGAGCGCCUCUGCCCAGCCGCCACCCCGUCUAGGAAGUGGGGAGCACCUCUGCCCGGCCGCCCUGUCUGGAAAGUGAGGAGCACCUCUUCCCAGCCGCCACCCUGUCUGGGAUGUGAGGAGCGCCUCUGCCCGGCCGCCCCGUCUGAGAGGUGAGGAGCGCCUCUGCCCGGCAGCUGCCCCGUCUGGAAAGUGAGGAGCAUCUCUGCCCGGCAGCCCCGUCUGGGAAGUGGGGAGCGCCUCUGCCCAGCCGCCCCAUCUGGGAGGUGGGGAGCACCUCUGCCCGGCCGCCCCAUCUGGGAGGUGGGGAGCACCUCUGCCCGGCCGCCCAUCAUCUGGGAAGUGAGGAGCGCCUCUGCCUGGCCGCCCAUCAUCUGUGAUGUGAGGAGCACCUCUGCCCGGCCGCCCCGUCUGGGAAGUGGGGAGCGCCUCUGCCCGGCUGCCCAUCGUCUGGGAAGUGAGGAGCGCCUGUGCCCGGCCACCCAUCGUCUGUGAUGUGAGGAGCGCCUCUGCCUGGCUGCCCCAUCUGGGAGGUAAGGAGCGCCUCUGCCCGGCCGCCCCGUCUGGGAGGUGAGGAGUGUCUCUGCCCGCCCGCCCAUCAUCUGGGAAGUGAGGAGCGCCUCUGCCCGGCCGCCCAUCGUCUGGGAUGUGAGGAGCGCCUCUGGCUGGCCGCCAUUCGUCUGGGAGGUGAGAAGCGCCUCUGCCCAGCCGCCCCAUCUGGGAAGUGAGGAGCACCUCUGCCCAGCCUCCCCGUCUGGGAGGUGAGGAGCACCUCUGCCCGGCCUCCCCGUCUGGGAGGUGAGGAGCGUCUCUGCCUGGCUGCCCCGUCUGGGAGGUGAGGAGCACCUCUGCCCGGCCGCCCCGUCUGGGAGGUGGGGAGCACCUCUGCCCGGCCGCCCAUCGUCUGGGAGGUGAGGAGCGCCUCUGCCCGGCCGCCCAUCAUCUGUGAUGUGAGGAGCACCUCUGCCGGGCCGCCCCGUCUGGGAAGUGGGGAACGCCUCUGCCCAGCUGCCCAUCGUCUGGGAAGUGAGGAGCGCCUGUGCCCGGCCACCCAUCAUCUGUGAUGUGAGGAGCGCCUCUGCCCGGCUGCCCCAUCUGGGAGGUGAGGAGCGCCUCCGCCCGGCCGCCCUGUCUGGGAGGUGAGGAGUGUCUCUGCCCGCCCGCCCAUCAUCUGGGAAGUGAGGAGCGCCUCUGCCCAGCCGCCCAUCGUCUGGGAUGUGAGGAGCGCCUCUGCCCAGCCGCCCAUCGUCUGGGAUGUGAGGAGCGCCUCUGCCUGGCUGCCCCAUCUGGGAAGUGAGAAGCGCCUCUGCCCGGCCAUCUCAUCUGGGAGGUGUACCCAACAGCUCCGAAGAGACAGCGACCAUCGAGAACGGGCCAUGAUGACGAUGGCGCUUUUGUCGAAAAGAAAAGGGGGAAAUGUGGGGAAAAGAAAGAGAGAUCAGAUUGUUACUGUGUCUGGUAGAAAGAAGUAGACAUAGGAGACUCCAUUUUGUUCUGUACUAAGGAAAAUUCUUCUGCUUUGGGAUGCUGUUAAUCUAUAACCUUACCCCCAACCCCGUGCUCUCUGAAACAUGUGCUGUGUCAACUCAGGGUUAAAUGGAUUAAGGGUGGUGCAAGAUGCGCUUUGUUAAACAGAUGCUUGAAGGCAGCAUGCUCGUUAAGAGUCAUCACCACUCCCUAAUCUCAAGUACCCAGGGACACAAACACUGCGGAAGGCCACAGGGACCUCUGCCUAGGAAAACCAGAGACCUCUGUUCACGUGUUUAUCUGCUGACCUUCUAUCCACUAUUAUCCUAUGACCCUGCCACAUACCCCUCUCCGAGAAACACCCAAGAAUGAUCAAUAAAUACUAAAAAAAAAAAAGAAUUUUCCUUUAUAGAUUAUUUUUCUUUUUAACAAAAUUAAAAGGAUUUAGUUAAGCAUAUUUUGGUUCAAACUUUCCAGUUGUUAUAGAAGUGUGAAAAAUGCAAACUGAGCUUGAAGGAAUAUUGAAUAUCUUGUCCAACCCCCGUUAUUUAUAGAUAAGGAAACUGAGGUCCAAAAUGGUAAAAAUUAUUAUUUAACAAAUAAUGUUGCUAGUUAGUGACUAUUACACAGGAUUCUUUCAAUUGCAGGUGGCAGAAAUGCACCUCAAGCUAACUCAACCCAAAAAGGGAAACAGCACAAUUAUUUUCUCCUAUGGGAAAAAGGCAGAGAUGUCCUCAGGCACAACUGAAUCCAGGAAUUAAAUUAGAUCCACCGCUCUCUCUGUAUCUCAUCUCAGCUUCUCUCUGUACGUAGUCCUAAUUUUCUCAGGCUCUCCUGUGCAACAAGGUAUAUGGCUACCAGUAUCUCUAAGGUUGCAACCUUUUAACUGGAAACGUAAAGGAAAGAGAGAAAUUCUAACUAUUAGUCUUUGAACAUCAAAUCCAAAAUAAAUAUUCCGAUUAGCUUCUUUGAGUCAUAUGACCAUCCCAUUAUUUUGGAGGUGGGGUGGAGGUGGCAGGAUAUGUAAUUGGCAGUUCCAGAAAAACCAUCUGGAGUUGGAGAAAGGAAGUUAAGGGAAAUAGGAGCUCACUAUUACUAGCAUGAAGGAAGGGAGGUUGGACAGACAAAAGCAUCUACUGUCCACCAGGGCAGCUGGAGACCCUGAAUUGGAGUUGGGGGUCUUUGAUCUUUCAUUCAAUCAUCUUUUCAUUUCUCUAUUUAUUCAUUCAACACAUAGUUACUGAGCAGUCUAUGAGGAUUGUAUUUAGCUGCAAGCAACAGAAUCUCCAGUCAGUGAUGGCUUGUAUAGCAAAAAGUGUAGAGAUAGGAGUUAACUGUUCACAUUGUUUUCUAACACCAUGUAGUCUCACCGUUUCUCAAGCACACCCUUGCGCUUCCUUGCCCCUGGUCCUUUGUUUGCUCCUCUUCUCUCCAUCUUUACUUGUUAGUCACUUAACCCACAGGGCAAUAUCGUCUCUCCCUGAAGGCUUCCCAAAUCCACUUCUUUCCCACUUUUGUAUAAAUCAGAAUAAAUAUUUCCCAAUUCUGUAUGUAUGUAACACUUUGUUCAAUCAUUAUAACACUGAAUUCAUUCUGCCAUGUGUUAAAAUUAAUUUGUUGCAUAUGUAUCGA